GAUGAACGCUGGCGGCGUGCCUAAUACAUGCAAGUCGAGCGCACAGGCUAGAAGCUUGCUUCUCUUAUGUUAGCGGCGGACGGGUGAGUAACACGUGGAUAACCUACCUAUAAGACUGGGAUAACUUCUGGAAACCGUAGCUAAUACCGGAUAAUAUCUUUAACCACAUGGUUCAAAAGUGAAAGACGGUCUUGCUUUACCUUAUAGAUGGAUCGGCGCUGCAUUAGCUAGUUGGGAAGUUAACGGUUACCAAAGGCAACGAUGCAUAGCCGACCUGAGGGGGUGAUCGGCAACAUGGGAACUGAGACACGGCCCAACCUCCUACGGGAGGCAGAAGUGGGGAAUCUUGGGCAAGGGGCGAAAUCCUGACGGAGCAAGGCGGGGGGGGUGAGGAAGGUCUCCGGAUGUAAAAACCUUGUUAUUAGGGAAGACCAUAUGUGUAAGUAACUGCGCACAACUUGACGGUAACUAAUCAGAAAGCCACGGCUAACUACGUG
Molecule: ribosomal RNA, 497 nt
Filed under: uncultured bacterium
Lineage: Bacteria
Description: partial 16S ribosomal RNA
Rfam family: Bacterial small subunit ribosomal RNA
Source: RNAcentral